ACAAGAAAAUAUAAUUUUUUCAUACAAAAUUUAAAUAACAACCCAUUAAAUACUUUUCUUUAUCAAAUUCUAAAUCUUCAUUUCUUUUUCUGAAGAGGGAAAUAAUUUUACAUCUCUGAUAAGAACUAAUGACAAAUGUGGUCGACUUGAAUAAGAUCAAGAGAAUUAAAAUUUAAGUGUCCCCCNNNNNNNNNNNNNNNNNUUUUUUUAACUAUUUGUUUUUUUUUUCCUUCCCCUUAACAUCAUCAAGUCUUAUCUUAUUCAGCUUACCAAAUAAGCCAGAAGUCUAAAGGAAUUUGAAAAGGGCUUUGCAAAUAUUAAUUAAUUUCAUUUCUGGGUUAUGUUUCAAGAAAUCCAGUCAUUUUGAGAAUUGAAUUCCUGACUUCACUCAAAUUUCUGCCCUUAAGAGUCCUUCCAUUUCCGGUGCAGACGGAGAACGCCAUCAUUUUCUCGGCGACCCGCUGGCUAACGAUAACGUGGGGUGGUACCAUUUCUCCACCGUCGUUUUCGUCAUCGAAAAUUUCCGAAUCUACAUACUGAACCGUCCAUAAACUUCCAGUUAUGUUUGCUGGGAUAUUUACCGGAACUGAAUUCUUCUUGGUCUUGAAUUUCUUCCUCUUGGUUUUGAUAUUUCUUCACGGAAAAUUGUACUCCUCGUUGCCAUCUUCAUCUCCGGCAUAGUCUUGAAAAAUAACUUCAGAUUCUUGAAAUACUUCUGCCAUGGAAAAUGAGAGAAAAGUACGAAUUAAAAUGGUAUUUAGGAAUUGGUAAAGGGUGGGAAAUGCAAGGAAAUUUAUAGAGGGCGAAAAUGAUUGAUUAGAGGAAGAGAGUUUGAUUGGGGGUGGUGAAGUGGCGUCAUUGUAAAGGGCGUUGAGUGCGGACCCAACUUUCUGCGUCU
This 898-nucleotide long non-coding RNA is filed under the name Olea europaea (common olive). RNAcentral describes it as "long non-coding RNA (OEUR_LNC002547)". The record is from RNAcentral. Lineage: Eukaryota; Viridiplantae; Streptophyta; Magnoliopsida; Lamiales; Oleaceae.